Molecule: long non-coding RNA, 35790 nt
Filed under: Triticum aestivum (bread wheat)
Lineage: Eukaryota; Viridiplantae; Streptophyta; Magnoliopsida; Poales; Poaceae
Description: long non-coding RNA (TAES_LNC014632)
Source: RNAcentral
GAUAUCUGAUCCUACUCCAUGACCACGACUCCGUGCUCGAGUCAGUUCAGCAUGCAAUACAUUUCCCCUCUCGUGCUGUUCGUCCAAACAGAAGUUUGUUUUUCUACGGUUGCAAUUGUCUGCUUCUUCUGUAGCAGCAGUGUGCAGACAGUAUCUAUUAUAUCUAUAUACCUACAAUAUUCAUGUGGAUUUUGAUAUUUGGCGAUCGUUCUAAAUCUUGUAGUAGUACCGAACUUGGACGUGGUCACCACUUUUUUCUUCUUCUACCUCAUGUGCAUGUGACAUGUGAGUGACCUUAAAGACCAUCAACAGCCGCGUACAGUUACUCCAACUCCUCCAACGUCGGCCGACAUCGACCAUUAGACUGGUCAUAGUGGGGAGUAACUUAAACUAGUGUCAUGCAUAUGACACUAGUCUAUGUUAUUACCUUUAUAGUGUAAAGUGUCAUAGAAGUAGUAUCAUAUAUGGUUGCAUUUAUUAGCUUAUAGACUCAAUAUUUGUUGGGAAGCGCUAUGUGAUGGUAACAUAAUAUGUUACUCCAAACACCUCUCUCCUCAUUAACUAGGUGGAACAUAAGCAAACUUGUCUUGGGAUGUGUUAUGUUAGUGGCUAAAUUACUCCCACUAUGACUAGCCUUAACACCUUAAAUUAAAUGUCCUCUUUCACAACCGAAUAUCUCAUUACCAAAUCCUCAAAUUCAUACAACUACAUGCAACUAAAACCUAGUUCGCUGGUGCUACUUCGCCUCCAUGUUCGUGUCCAUGUCCGGUGACAAGUUGAGCCCCCCCCCCCGAUUGAUGGUGCGGUCACCGACGAGAAAGAGUAGGACAUGGGGCACGGGCCGACUCACGGAUUUGAGCGCCGCAGUCUCCCAUGACCUACUCUUCUUUGUUGGAGCCCGUGUCCAGGACGUCGUCGGGCGACGUGAGAUCCAUAAUAGACCCCUCGCAGUUAGAGCCCGACACGUCUAACACAACGCAGACGCGGUGCGCGGUUACCCAUACCAGCUCCAAGGGACGUGCGACUCCGCCUCCGCGAGGGCCGUCGCGGCCUCCCACGCCCUCUGCCUCGCACAACAAGCAUGCCGCUCCAUGUUAGUGGACGCGCCAUGAUUCAACCGGUGUAUACCUCCGAUUAUGAGACCAGGUUGCCGCCACCGGGCUGGAUCCAUUUCUCGUUUUUAUUGAAUCAAAACGCAAAUCCAGAUUCAUCCCUGGCUUGCUUGCAGGAGAACCCAAGUUGUUUUUCCUACUGCCGCUCAAGUUUGCACAGACACUUGUAUCAGUACACAUUUCUGAUAAAGCUUAAUCUUGUAUGUGUAGCACACUUGCUACAAGGCCGUUGAUUUGGAUGAAAUUGACAAGAAGACUAGUUGCAUCUCAGUUGACUUGUAAUGUAGUUUAGUUGCACACAUAUUUUCGUGGAAGUGUCACGGCAGAUGUCUUCAUGGAAGGACUUAAUUGUGGAGCCAUUGCGACGAGGUUAGUUUAAAGGGGUUAAACGGGACAAAGGACACAGAGAGUUUAUACUGAUUCGGCCCCUUGCGGUGAAGGUAAAGGCCUACUCCAGUUGAGGUGGUAUUGCUAGGGUUUCAAUUACCAGGGAGCAAACACGCUUUGCCUGGCUCUCGAUUUGAUGUUUCUUAACCUAAGCCGUUGUCGGGUCGUCCCUUUAUAUACACGGGUUGACGCCCUGCGGCCUACAGAGUCCCGGCCGACUCAUACAACGUGUCCGGCUCGGUGACGUAUCUUACAUGCCUUAUAUUACAAGUCUACUCAUACAUGGCGGUUUACACUUACGACCCUUAAGCUGUGUCUAGGCUUGGGCCUCUUACCGGCCUAUCUAUGAACCACCGUCUGGUAUACUCCUGGGCUUCAUGGAUGAACCGCCACUGUGGUUGACCCGACCCCUCCUGGGCGGGUGAUACCUGAUAGUCAUAUCCCCAACAUUAGGCCCCAGGUUGAUUUGAACUUGUUCAGGUCAAUCUUCAACACUUAGAAAAAAUCCUUCUUCCUCUGCUAUGAAACAUUGUAACCCGCCAUGACGUCAUCUCCGGAAAUUUCGAAAACCCGCCACGACGUCAUCUUUAACGGAUCUUUUAUCUUUAAUGACCUUCCGAAAAUCGAGGCGUUCAAUUAGUUGGAUAAUCAUCAUUUGACCUCCUCGUUUUUCGUGCCUGCCUGUUACUCUUUUCCUUAUAAAUAGGGUCAAAGCACCCCUUUCUCAUUCUCCUCUCUCCUUCUCGUCUUCUUCUUCCUCGCGACGCACCAGCCCACACGAGCUCCGCCAUCAUCGACCUCCGUCCUCUUCGUUAACUCCGGCCGCUGCAUCACCCUGGACGGUCCAGAAAUGCCGCAGCACUCCUCCGCUGUCAGCUCGCAUCGGUAAGUCUUCCCUUUUCUUUUUCAUGGAUCUGUUCCUUAUGGUUUCGGUGUUCGUCGGUGUUCAUCGCUGCGCCUCCUUCUCCUUGCUAGAUCGUGUAGUUUUGAUCUGAAAAUAAUGUAGGUCCUAUGCGGUAGCAGUUUUAGCACCCGCUUUUGAUAUUAAAACAUAUCCUUAUCACGACAGAUCUCCUCUAGGGCACCUCCACUUUUAUGUUGCCGCCUCUGUAGGUUUAGAUUUUAUCUCCUUUUUCUGAACAGCUGUAGAUCCGAAUUUAUAGCUUUAAUCUGUGGAACCUGUUUGUCCCAACACUUAACAAAUUUUGCUCUUGUUAGAUCUUGAAUAUCUUAGUCAUGGCGGCUUACUUACCGGCUUGCUUAUUACUUCAUAUAUCAUUAGCCCUCACUUAAGACGCCAUUCUGAAUGUACACUGCAACUGUUAACUUGUGAUUUCACCAACUGACUUGAACCGGCAAAUUACUCCUUUCUUUAGGUUGUCCUUUCACAAUGCCACCAAAGACAGUUACCACACAUGUAACUGGGUUCCUUCCAUCGUUACUGAGGAUACUUUGAAAGAUUUCGUCAAGGUUGGAUAUCUACCAGAGAAGAGUGUCAUGCAUUACCGCGCUCCUGACCCGGGCAAAAAGAGACCUCUGCCAAAAGACGGUGAAGUCAUUGUAUUCACUGAUCAUAUGAACCGGGGCUUCUCACCGCCCGGCUCUAAGUUCUUUCGAGAUGUUCUGCACUUCUUCAAACUCCAUCCGCAAGACAUUGGACCCAACUCCGUGUCAAACAUCUGUAAUUUUCAAGUUUUCUGUGAAGUAUACCUUCAAGAAGAGCCUAGUGUCGAGCUUUUCAGGGAAUACUUCUAUCUAAACCGGAAAAAUGAGUUCACAAAUGGGCCCAGCUUGGAACUUGGUGGAAUUUCAAUUCAACGCAGAAGAGACGCCAUCUUCCCUCAAGUAGCUCUACCGAUUCACCCCAAGGACUGGAAUUAGACAUGGUUCAAUUGUAAAGAUAUCUCGCCGUCUGAUGAAAAUCAAUUGCCGAGUUAUUGUGUUGAUCGUCUUGACUCAAAUUAUCAACUCCCUGAGAAACUUACUGCCGCCGAACGUAAGAAACUCGUCCCUACUAUCAGAAAAGUCCAAGACCUACUAGGAAAUGGUUUAACCGGAGUUGAUUUCAUCCGAUGCUGGGUCUCAUGGCGGAUCAUACCCUUAAGCCACCGAUCUGGCUUGAUGUGUAAUUACACCAGAGGAACAGACGAUCCAUUACGCCAUAGCUCUCUACGUCUGACUAAAGAGGGCAUUGUUGAAAUGGCAACAACCCUUGUAAAUAGUAAAUUCGAAGACUGCAGCAAAGUGGGUCUGAACCCUUUCUGCACGCUUAACCCGCCGCCAGAUGUAAGUCUCUUGAUUUCCCUUACCUUACUUCAUCAUCCAAAUAUUAUGUGAGCUCAAGUAUGUUACUCUUCCGCAGGCUAAAUCUGACUUCUGGAAAGCAAAAUAUGAUCACGAAGCUGCCAAAAAGGCUAGGGCUACCGCGAAAGCCGCCAAAAAGACCAGCAAGAAACUCAGGAAGAAGUCAAGCGCCUCGGAUCUGCUUAAGCUGGACGAUACCUCUGAGUCAGAGGUAGCCCUUGACUCUUCUGGCUUGUUUUUCAACCACCUUAUUGACACUAACUAUUGCCAAGAUGACACGGGGGCCAGCCAAGCAGUUGAAGAAGAGGUAACUAUUAUUUUCUCCAACUCAGAACCUUUGCCAAGGCAGAAACUUCAGUGAGUAACCCGGAAAGUAUGGUUUUCACACCCCUUGGCUUAUUUAGAUCCUCACUUUCUUUUGAAACGAUAGCAACACGAGAGCCGCCGCCAGACCCGGUCUAGUGGAGGCGAAGAUUUAUCCUCCGGUUUACCAAACACUCCUUGAAAACGCCAAAAUGAGGUUCUUUUUAGCCUUAACUCUUUUAUUUACUGGCAGGUUUCUUUCGUUAGCCACUCAAUUUUUUCAAUUCAAUCUUGCAGGAGAUUUCCCGUUCUUCCUCUGGCGAUUCAUCUCAGACUCAGCUGCCGGCUUUCAAGACUGCCCCUGGGUAAGAAUAAUUACCUUUCUUUACCUUUAUAUCCUCACCAUUAUGUUGACUUGUCUGAAUUAUUUUAGCGGUCAAGCAAAACCCAACAAGAAGGCGAAGGUGACAAAAUCACCCGAAGACCCUAAAGCUGUUGAACCGGACCAGCAAGCUUCUGCACUAGAAGCCUCUGAACAACCAGAAGAUCCUGCUUCCAAUACUCAACCUGAGAUGCCUGAGUUGUCUGUUGAUGAAACCAACAUUGACCCGUCAACUACUGAACCGUCAAGCUCACUUAACCCGCCAGAGACUCAUGCUGAGGACAUUCUGAUCACUGGUACCGGCUUUACUAAAUCAAGGAAUCCAACUGUAUUAGCCAGACAUUCUGCCAAACAGAAAGUCAUGGAGACACGGAAAGUGAGGUUUGAUGUCUCCCACUAUGCUCAGUUGAGUAAUAGUGAAGAUUAUCCGGUUAUCUCAGUCAAGUACACUCUAGCCGUGACUUGGAAAUUGAGAUGGUUAAACAGAUGCAUCAGAAGUAUGAGGUAUGUCAUCCGGCUUACAUAAUCUAGAUAUCCUGCCAGCCCCCAAGUCUUCUGAUUAUGAUAAGAUUGAAUAAUCUGUAGAUUUAAAAAACUUAUAAGCUUCUGUCCUAGACUCCCUCCAAGUCCGGUUGAAAAUUAAACCGGAUGCUGGAAAUAGCAUAAUUCUGCAUUUGUAGUCCCCAAGGGUCGGUUUAAUCAUUAUGAAUGAGCCGGUCCUAGUUAUCACUGUGUAAAAGAGCAGAACUUAACUGCAUAGCCCCCAUGAGUCAGCGGAGACUGUUUACAGCACUCCCGGCUCAUCAUUAGGAAGAUACAAACAAUAUGCAUUAGCCCCCAAGUGCCAAGUGUUGUUGCUUGCAAAGCGCUUGGGACUUUUAGUUAUAAAAGCCGUUUCCGUUGAAAAAUUGCUUUGAUAGACAUUAUCCCCCAAGUGCCAAGUGUUGUUGCUUGCAAAGUGCUUGGGACUUAUAUUGUUGUAAUCCGCCAUGAAGUAUGUUUGAUAAAUCUGUGUUGCAUGCAGGCUGCUACCACUGAAUUGGAAACUCAACUGAACGACACCAAGACCCGGCUGGUGUCUCAGGAAACUAAGACCCGGAAAGCUGAAUCAAAAUUCCAGUUUAGUCUGUCUGAGUCGGAAAAAUUGAAGACUAGUUUUACUGCGGAUAAAAAGGCUUGGGCUGAAGAAAAGACUGCCUUGAUACAGCAUGCUGAGAAGGCAGAGGCGGCUCUUCAGGAGGCUACCACCGAACUCACCAGUUUAAAACACUGUGUGUCUCAGAUGGUUUCUGCUAUCUUCGGUGAGUCGCCUUGUUAUUUAUCCAAAGUAUUUGUCGUCGUAAUGUAAGCCGCCAUUUUAACCAAUCUAUGACUUACUCAGGUCCCAGAAGCAACAACCUUAGCCAAGACACGCUUGUGAAGCUCAAGGCAGUUUAUACUCUUGUUGAGCAAUUAUAUACUGGAGCUCAACGUACAUUGGCUACCAUCUCCCGGCUAAUCAAGGACCCAAUCUGUUAAGCGAUGUGCUGAAGAAAUUAUCCAUCCUGCCCACCAGAAUCCAAGAAAUAAAGCGGUCUUGUGCAAGAGCCGGCGUUGUGACGGCCUUGAGCCGUGCCAAAGCAUGGGUACCGGAAUUAGACCUCGCAGAUGUGGCCAGUGGGUAUCCUAGCUUAAAGGAAGAAGAAACCUCUUUCGAUCAGCAAGACUUUGCCGCCUGUGUCAAAGAGAUUCGUCCUCAUGCAACAGUCAUCGCUGAAGAGACCAAUCUUUCCAUUGUCUCCUACUAGUACUCAGUCUGUUCUAGUAGUAGUUGCAUAACUGCCCGUUUACACUCAAAUGUUGUCGGAUAAUGGUUCUCUAUGGUUGGGUUUCCUUAAUGAAAUCGGAGGGAACCCCCUCUUUCGAUAUGUAAAAAAAUAGUGGCACUAGCGGUGCCAAAACAUUGCCUCAAAUUAAUAGUGCCACUAAAUUAAGGUGCAAAAUAAUAACAUUACUGCUUUAUCAUGGCAGUGCCAAAACAGUAGCACAAGAGCAAGAUCAACAUGCAGGAUCUUUGGCAAACAGUCAUACCAAAAAGGAACAUACCUCGUGAUGGGAACCAUAUCUGCAGUCAACGCCAUCGUAGAAGGGAUGACACCAGUCACCAACAUGGAUGAUUCAAUUCAUGGGACCUUUUGGUGCAGUUCACCUAAAAUGAAGCAAUGUCCCAUGAGCUAGCAGCUUCUUCUUCUUCUUUUAAGAAAAGGGAUCCAGCCCUGGUUCCAUUUCCAUCAGAAAACGAAACCCAUAGAGCUUCUUCUUCAUUAGUUGCAAUAAAAUUGGGCAACAUCAAGGUUGGUCGUGAAGCUCUUGGAAUGUUCAACUAUAAUUUGGAUAUCAUUUGUGCAGUUCAACUAAGAUCAAGCGCGAAAUGUAUAUCUCUGUUUGGACAAAAAGGUGGAAAGGAGGGUGACUAACAAGUGAUGAAACAUGCAUCAAAUGAAAAAAAGCAUGUACCUUAUCUGAAUGGCAAUUGUACAAGGACAAUAGCAAUUUCUAGCAGCAUUGCUACUCCCUCCGUUCCUAAAUAUUUGUCUUUGUAGAGAUUUCAAAUGGACUACCAAAUACGGAUGUAUAUAGACAUAUUUUGAGUGUAGAUUCACUUAUUUUGCUCCGUAUACAGUCACUUGUUGAUAUCUCUAGAAAGACAAAUAUUUAGGAACGGAGGGAGUAGAUAUUAGUGUGGGCAUUAGGAUUAAAUUUGACAACUGUUAAAUACGACAUUACUUUAAUGGUGCCAUUGCUUCAUUUUACCAGCAACAUUAUAUUAACAACUGCUACAGAGUCGGUAUUUGGGCACGGGAGAGUAGGCGGACUAGGACAGUUGCAUCUGUAACGAAAAGAAGCAACUUAUCUUAAUGUGAAAUUUAGCAGGACAUGAAAAAAAGUGCCCUUGAUUCAUAUUACUGGAGGCAUUACAUUGAAAACAACAUUGGUUUAACGUGUCCUUACUUUUAACAGUGCGACUGCUACAUUUUACCAGUGGCAUUACAUAAGAGCGGCUCGGGGUAACAAACAUCAGAAGAGGAUAUCUAGGUUGGUCCCAUUUUUGUUUGGUGUAUAGCCACCUUAUACUGUGUGAGGCUAGCAAAUCUAGUGUUGGACUUACUCUGUUGACUUGUCCCCCAGUCCCCACUUUCUUUCCUUUUUCAACCAAUAGAUCGGGUUUAUAUUGAGUUUGUACUACAUUCCCUUUAUUUCGCUAUUAGACCUAGAGACCAGUUGGAUAGCCAGUCUCUGCUACUUUUCGCCCCUAUUAUUUCCUCUUUCGACCAGGUCCUAGAUUAAGGUAACAAAUCUUCCCUCACCCCCAUCCCCCUUCUUCCUUGUUUGAACCAAGUACUACUAGAUUCGAGUGCAUGAACUAGUUUUACCUCUUAACAGUAAAAAACAUGUGGUUUUCGAACAGCUGAUCGGUCCUAUCUACGAGGGGCCCUGAGAAAUAGUAAAAGAUACAAAUGCAGCGACGUCAGGAGCUCGGGAAGUAGAGCAAGGCCGGUUUCGAAGGAAGUUAUACCUGAGGGUCGCCGGGAUGUCGCUAGGUGGGCGGCGGGAGGCCGGAUCUGCACACACUACGGCAGCGAGGAAGAAGGGGUGGGACACCCUCCCUCGCCAGCGAUGCUUGGGAGAGAACGGCAAGGCACGCUGAUCGGGACGCGCCAGCAGUGGGUAAGAGCCAUCAUCAAGGAUGACUGCGUGAAUGUUGCACCUUCUCACCUUCCCCGACGGAGAGGAUCCGGCUGGGUCUGUGACCAGUGGUGAGUAGAGAGAGUGUGGCCACCGCUGUCGUGUUUAGAUCUGCAGAGGAUGAGACAGUGUGAAGAGAGCAACACUAGCAAGCAAGCGCAGAGGCUCCUGCCUAUAUAGUGGAGUACUAGUUUUCUUUUGUCUACCGGCCGGAGUCGGCUUGACCUUGGCAAUGACUGUCGAGAAGUCUUCAUGCACGUGCCCGGAGGCGCAAUUGUCGUCAUUUUGAUCUGAAGCACCGGAUUAUAACAUAUGACAACAAAAAAUUCCACAUGACAAGAAAUCAUAACCUGACUGCCCAAAGGAGACAAGAUGAAUCCCGACGGACAAACUAGACGAGGAUCAAAGCUCAAAUUAUAGAUAAACUCGUAGAAAAGGGGUCCGUCGAUAGAUGUCCUAAUUAACAUACCCGGCUCGACCUAGAUGGCAGCCGAGUAGUCUUCAUGCAUGUGCCCCCAAUGACUAGCCCAACUCAGUUGUCUCUGUUUAACCCUCGCAGUGAUGUGAAGCACAUGACACCUAACUUUGCGAGAUGACAAGAAACCUUUUUUAGAUUUCUCACCAGAACUACAACCCUAUAUAACACAACAUGCACGAUAUGUAGACGAUAGCCAAUCCAGGCGUGUCUGCUAGAGUCUGGUCACAUGCAUGGACAAACUGAUUUUCCGUGUCUUGCAGGGAUCGUCCAGGUACCAACGUAUGUACUCCUACAACACUUCUCUAGUAGUACUAUCGCUCAUCUCUCUCUUCUAUUAACUCACCCGACUUGUGGGGCCGGGGAGUGUGCCUAUGGUCGGUUCUCAAUUGUGGUCCCACAUGUGUGUGCAAACGCAAUAUGACGCGCAUUCCAUUCGGAGAGCGGCAUGCCAAGCCGACCGACCGUCUGGGGUGCGACGCGAAUGCGACGGGCGUGUUGUAUACUCCGUACAUGUGUACCGCCGUUUUCUUGAGGCUUUUCUCCAUGGCACAAUCCAUGGAUACAAAAUUAGUAUACUGUACUAUUUAAAAGUCGAGGGCGGGGCUUUUCCUGCGUGGUAGGCGGGGCAGUUCCUCCUAGUCGGUUCGAUAGAGACGCAAGAAUAUGAGGGGGUAGGCUGCUGCAAACGUAGGACUGUGUGAUUUGAUAGUGAGUUACUGUUGGACAGGUGGGGCCUGAUGAUUUGACUUGCCAUUAUCAUUUUAAGUGCGGAGCUAUGACUGGUGUGAGUCUCCUGAUUCCUGACCACCUCUGUCAGAUUUCGGGUUCCGGCAGACCCUUGAGGUUCGAACACUGGGGUGCGCGCGGAGAUUUCGCCUCCUACCUACCUGCACCCCUCCGCCAUGCUAGGAUCUAAACUAAGGAAAGAACAACACAAGAGACACAGGGUUUAUACUGGUUCGGGCCACCGUUGUGGUGUAAUACCCUACUCCAGUGUGUGGUGUGGUGGAUUGCCUCUUGGGCUGAUGAUGAUGAACAAUGCAAGGGAGAACAGCCUCGCGAGGGUCUGUUCUUGGCUGAGGCGAUGAACUGCUGGGAGGAGUUCAGCCACCUCUCUCUCUCCCUCUCUCUGCUCCCCUCCGACCGACCCACUUGCUGUUGGGUGGCUGGUCCUAUUUAUAGAGGCCCUGGUCCUCUUCCCAAAUAUUGAGCAGGAAGAGAGCCAACAAUGGCGGGCUAAUUUGAAGGGGGACAACAAGUAUCAGCUAUCCUGACAAAAGUAGUCUUCGCCUGCGCAAAGCUCUGGUGAUGACGCCGUCUUGGGCUCCACGGUAACCUCCAUCUCGUAGUCCUCUUGGUCUUGGUCUCGUUGCACCGAAAUGGCAACCUUUGCCUGAUGCCUCGGUACUCUGCGGCUGCGCUUGCCCCCUUUGCACCAAAGAGGAAAGCAGGACGCUGCGCGGGCUGGCACCCGCCUGGCGCCCUGAGCUGUCAUGGCUUGCGUCAUGGGCACCUCGUGAGGUACCCCGCCUUGAUCUCUCCACCUCCUCGUGAGCCAGCCUGGCGAGGCCGUGCCCGAGGAAGCUUCACGUUGUCCGCCCCGCGAGGCUUGGCCCCUCGCGAGGAUCUUGGGUUUGUGUUGGUGAAGAUGGGCCGUGUUGGGCCCCCCUUUGAGCCACGUCGCAGGCCGCAGGCAGGCAAGUCUGGGGACCCCCGUUCCUAGAACACCGACAGUAGCCCCCGGGCCCAAGGCGUGCCCGGACUUGGCCGUGCAGGGAGGCGGAAGGGCAAGAGCGAAACACCACGGGCCCUAACAGCCUGCGGCCUUGGGCGCCGCGUGGCGGUUUAUUGGAUGUGGGCGUCUCCACUUCCCCAUGGUGCCUCGGCAACUGCACUGACUGGACAAGCCCCUGCAUGCAAAACGGGUCAUGAUUACCUGCGAUCGUGGAGGUCGGCGGUUGGCCUCCGCCGGCUAUAAGUACGGGACGACGUGCGCCCUUCCGGUUCAUCUCCCCUUGCUUCUCCUUCUUCUUCAUGGCCCCAUCGAGGAGGUUCUUGGCCGCGGAGAAGGGGAAGGCUUGCCAGGCAGAGCAUGCCUCUCCCCUGCCCAAGCGCGGCCGAGGGCGCCCCCGCAAACAUCCUGUGGCCACCACGGCAGCUCCCCGCGGCCGCGGAGACGCUUUCCAGUGCGGUGGCGGGCGGAUUGCUGCGGCCGGGGGGUGCGCUCCGGCUGCGCGUCCCCCUAUGCCGCGCUUUCGCGCUGCAGAGGUGCUGCCGGAGUUCGUUGUGUGGUCGGCGGAGCCGACUAGCACCCGGCUCCCACUUCCUCGCUUCCUCCUCGGCGAGCUCCCGGCCGGCGCCCUGGGCGGCCUCUGGCUUCAGGCCGUCGGCUGCUGCAGCCGGGCCUCAUGGGUUUCACUGGAGGUCUCCGCAGCCGGGAGCCUGGCCCUGGCCCGCGGUUGGCAGACGUUUGCCCGCGCGCGUGGCCUGGGCUGUCGGUGCACCCUAUACUUCAGGUUCGACGGUGAUGCCACCCUCUACGUGAGGGUGUUUGGGGAAGAUGGUCACCGCGCAGGGUGUUGCCCCGAGGGCGACGACCGCGGCUGGGAACCCGGCUCCGGCGAUGAUGGAGACGACGGCGCUCGCGGGGCUGGCGGUGCUUAGGGUUCCUCAAGCUUCUCCGGUUCUUCUUCAAGCGGCGACUCUCCUAGUGGUGGCCGCAGCCAGCCCCCACGCCGUCGUAUCUGCUUGGGGGGUGGUGGCGCGUCCGCCCACCGUCGCGCCAUGGUGAAGCGCGAGAGGGAGUCUGCCUGAGCUCCGGAGGCAGCUCGGGCUUCCCUACGGGCCGGUGCGAGACGAGCCGCACCAGAUUUGUUUUUUUCUCUUCCCUUUUCCUGCAUAAAGAAGGACAGCAGUGUGGUGCCCCGCGGGGGCGUGUAUGGGUUAUUGCUGUUAAUUAUAGUUUUGCUUUCUUCAUCGUACCUUCCGACUAUGUGUCCGCGCGUGGAUGGUUCCCGGCCCCAGCCGUGGGGGCGACCGACCCAGGCCCUGUGUUUGUGUCGCGGUGCCCGAGGGGCACGGACUGGAGGGGUGCUCCUGCAAGGGGCCCAGGUCGCGAACCCUUUGAGUGACUAGGAUAGGAAGACUCGUGAGGGCGCUCGGCUCUCCCCCUCGCGAGGCCUUGCACAAGAGAAAUCGAGGCAGGAGCGUGAAAAGCCGAAGAACCACGAGCCAAAGACGGCAACAACUUCAAUAAAACUUCAAAUGGAGAAGAACCAGCCAACUGCAGAAAGCAAAUGAAAAGCCGCGUCCGACACCUAGUCUAGUCGUCGACGUCUUCUCACCAGCGCGGAGCUAAGUGCUGCCACUGGGCGUGGGAGGGAGCCCCAGGGCCUGAGGCCGGCGCUCCUGAGACUCCAGGGCGUGUACAGCCCCAACUCAUUAUUACGUGAGAGUGUCACGGGCGGCGAGCUUCACAGGCGUUCGCCUUGCUUCACAGGCUCCGGGCCUUUUCCGAAACGCGAUAGCUUCACAGGCAUUCGCCUUUCUUCACAGGCUCUGGGCCUUUUCCAAAACGCGAUAGCUUCACAGGCAUUCGCCUUGCUUCACAGGCUCCGGGCCUUUUCCAAAGCGCGAUAGCUUCACAGGCAUUCGCCUUGCUUCACAGGCUCCGGGCCUUUUCCAAAGCGCGAUAGNNNNNNNNNNNNNNNNNNNNNNNNNNNNNNNNNNNNNNNNNNNNNNNNNNNNNNNNNNNNNNNNNNNNNNNNNNNNNNNNNNNNNNNNNNNNNNNNNNNNNNNNNNNNNNNNNNNNNNNNNNNNNNNNNNNNNNNNNNNNNNNNNNNNNNNNNNNNNNNNNNNNNNNNNNNNNNNNNNNNNNNNNNNNNNNNNNNNNUAGCUUCACAUGCAUUCACCUUGCUUCACAGGCUCCGGGCCUUUCCAAAACGUGAUAAGUUCACAGGCAUUCACCUUGCUUCACAGGCUCCGGGCCUUUUCCAAAGCGUGAUAGCUUCACAUGCAUUCGCCUUGCUUCACAGGCUCCGAGCCUUUUCCAAAGCGCGAUAGCUUCACAGGCAUUUGCCUUGCUUCACAGGCUCCGGGCCUUUCCAAAACGCGAUAACUUCACAGGCAUUCGCCUUGCUUCACAGGCUCCGGGCCUUUUUAGGGGUAGAACCUCCAGAGGUGCUGGAUGUUCCAUGCGUUCUAGACUGGCACUCCCUCCUGAGUCUCCAAGCGCGCUGAGCCGAGCCUGGAAACAUGAACAACCUUGAAAGGGCCCUCCCACAUGGGAGAGAGCUUGUGCAGCCCCUCCCUGGAGAGGACCCGCCUGAGCACGAGGUCUCCUACCUCGAGUGUCCUGGGGCGGAUGUUGCGGCAGUGAUAUCGCCGCAGCGCUUGUUGGUACCUCGCCGCUCGUAGCGUGGCUUCUCGGCGACGUUCCUCCCCCAGCACGAGGUCCAUCCCCCGCAUGGCGUCCUGUUGCGCCUCGUUGAACGCCAGGACCCGCGCGGAGCGACGUCUGACCUCGUGAGGGAGGACCGCUUCGGCUCCGUAGACCAGGAAGAAUGGGGUCUCCUCAGUCGGCUUGGUCGCGGUUGUGCGGAUGGACCACAACACAGACUGAAGCUCGUCAUACCAACCUCUGCCGCAGGCCUCCAGCUUCUUCUUGAACGUCUUGGUCUUGAGGCCCCUCAGGACCUCCGCAUUGGCUCGCUCGGCCUGGCCGUUGCUUUGGGGGUGCGCCACUGAAGCGUAGCAUAUCUGCGUUCCAAGGUUAGUACAGUAUGUUUUGAAGAGGUUACUGGUGAACUGUGAACCGUUGUCCGUGAUGAUGCGAUUCGGCACCCCAAACCGGCUCACGAUGCCCUUGAUGAACUUGACCGCGGAACCCGCAGGAAUGGUGCGGACAGCCUCCACUUCAGCCCACUUGGUGAACUUGUCUACAGCAACGUAAAGGUAGCGGUAGCCCCCUGGCGCCUGAGGAAACGGACCCAAGAUGUCGAGCCCCCAGACUGCGAAUGGCCACGAAAGGGGGAUAGUCUGCAAGCCCCCUGCCGGCUGAUGGAUCUGCUUGGCGUGGAACUGGCAGGCCUCACAAGCUUUCACUAGUUCAAUGGCGUCAUUGAGCGCGGUGGGCCAAUAAAACCCACUGCGGAACGCCUUGCCGACGAGGGUCCGUGACGAUGAAUGAUGUCCGCAGUCCCCGCCGUGUAUAUCUUCCAGUAGUUCCUUCCCUUGCUCCCUGGAGAUGCAGUGCAGGGAUACAUCAUUUGGUCGCUUCCGGUAGAGCUCUCCAUCUCUGAUGUAGUAUGCCGUGGCCUGGCGUGCCACUCGCUCUGCUUCCUCCUCCUUCUCCGGCAGGGUCCCUUGCGUCAAGUAGCUCCGGAGCUCCAUGAUCCAACAUCCCUCCUGAGGUUCCAUCGCCAGGAGCAGGCGUGCUCCUGAGGCCGGGCCACAGGCCGGAGCUCCAGAGGCAGGUGGCUGGGGGAGCUCCUCCCGGGGCUGAGUCGUGUUUGAUAGUGACGGCAAGGCUGAAGGCUUGAAGAGCCGUUCCUCGGAAACGCCAGGCUCCUGAGGUAACCGCCUGGAUGCGCGUUUGGCGAUGUCAUCGGCCUCUUGAUUGGUGCCACGGGGCACAUGCUGGAACUCCAACCCCCAGAACUGCUUCUCCAUCCUGCGGACCUCUGCAAGGUAGGCCUCCAUGUGCUCAUCCUUCGGCUCGUACACCUUGUUGGAGAAAUUGACAAGGAGCUGCGAAUCUCCCUUGAUGGUGAGGCGUUUCACCCCCAGGGCAGCUGCGGCCUUCAAGCCCGCUAUUAAUCCUUCAUACUCCGCUAUGUUGUUGGAGACCUUUUCGCCUUGCUGGAAACAAAGCUGCACGGCGUAAUAGAGUUUGUCCUGGGUGGGCGAUAUAAGCACCGCCCCAGCCCCUGCGCCGUGUCUGGAGAACGCCCCAUCGAAGUACAUGACCCAGCCUUCUGGCGCCUCGCUUCCCAGGGACAGGGACCGAUCCUCGUCGGCCUUGAGGCCUGGCGCCUCCGUCCAUUCUACCACAAAAUCCGCUAACGCUGCUCCCUUGAUGACUCUGGUCGUGCUGAAUUCGAGCUGAAACGCUUGUAGCUCUAUGUUCCACUCAGCGACUCUCCCAGCUGAAUUGGGGCUCCUGAGCACCCUCUCCAGGGGGUAUGACGAGACGACCUUGAUGGGGUGACCCUGAAAAUAGUGCCGCAGCUUGCGCGAGGCCACCAGUAGCGCGAGGAGGAGUUUCUGGGGCAAAGGGUACCGCGCCCUUGCAUCCCGCAACACUGUGCUGACGAAGUACACUGGGUGCUCAACGAGGUGGAGUGCGUCAGUGCUGGCGGCUCCCUUUGGAGACCAUGGCGCCUCUCGAGACAAUGAGGCCUCCUAAGACUGGCCAUCUGGGAGAGGGGCCUCUCCUGCCUCUGGUGUGCCCCUCUGCGGUGGCUGGUCCUCAUCAGAUGCCGUGGUGGCUUCUGUGGGCCUUCCUCGUACCAGCUCCGCCUUGUCCUGGGCUGCUGCCGCGGUUUUGAUUCGACGCUCCUCUCUGACUGCCACCAGGGCUGCGCUGGCGGAGUAGGGAGUGGCGGCGAGGUAAAGCACCAGGGGCUCUUGAGGGCGUGGAGCCACCAUGACCGGUGGGCUGGUCAGGUAUUUCUUGAGAUCUUGGAAUGCCUUGUCGGCCUCUUCAGUCCACUCGAAGGGCCCCUUUUUCUUCAUUAGCUGGAAGAAGGGUAGCGCUCACUCCCCCAACUUGGAGAUGAAGCACCCUAGCGCGGUCACGCGCCCCGUGAGCUUCUGCAUUUCUCUGAGAGUCUUUGGCAGGCUCAUGUCUUCCACUGCCUUGACCUUCUCCGGGUUAGCCUCGAUGCCUCGGUGAGAUACAAGGAAACCCAAGAGCUUGCCCGAGGGGACUCCGAACACACAUUUCUCCAGGUUGAGCCGUAGGUUCACUGCGUUGAGGCUCGCAAAGGUUUCCUCCAGGUCUUAUAUCAAGGUCCUGGCCUCCCGAGAUUUUACCACGAUGUCAUCGACGUAAGCUUCAACAUUCUUCCCGAGCUGCGGGCCCAAGGUGAUAUGCACCAGCCGCUGAAAGGUCGCCCCUGCGUUACGCAGCCCGAAUGGCAUGCAGGUGUAGCAGUACACCCCACACGGGGUUAGGAAGGCUGUCUUCUCGACGCCUUCAACCGCCAUCUUGAUCUGAUGAUACCCAGAGAAGGCAUCCAGGAAGCAUAGCAGGUCGCAUUCCGCAGUGGAGUCGACGAUCUGGUCGAUGUAGGGGAGCGGGAACGGAUCUUGCGGGCACGCUUUGUUGAGGUUGGUGAAGUCUACACACAUGCGUUCCUUCCCUCCCUUCUUUGGCAUAAUGACAGGGUUGGCCAACCAAUCUGGGUAUCAGACCUCACGAAUGACCCCAGCAGCCUCUAAUUUGCGGGUCUCUUGGAUGAUGAAGGCCUGCUUUUCUGUGGACUGCCGCCUGGCCUUCUGCUUCACAGGGCGCACGUUGGGGCAUACGUUGAGGUGAUGCUCGAUUGCACUCCUGGGGAUCCCUGCCAACUAGUCUGGCUCCCAAGCGAAUACCUUCUUGUUUGCGUGCAGGAACCCGACCUGGGCCUCCUCCUGCUCGGGUUUGAGGUGGGCGCCUAUGGUGAAAGUGGCAUUGGUGGAUCCGUCCUCAUCGACGGGUAUCUGCUUGGUUUCUGCCUUGUCUUGGGUGAACAACUGUUUCUUCUUGGCGGGCGCAGCCCCCUUGGGCUCAGGGGCCUCCAAGGCGGCAGGCUGUGCCAACGCCGCUGUCUUGAAGACGAGCUUGAGCACCCGCAGAGCUUCCCCAGUGUCCCCGUGCAUGGUGAGGACACCGCUGCUCCCGGGCAUCUUCAUGAGGUUGUACGCCGGGUGCGUCGCGGCCAUGAACUGGGCCAGCGCCGGGUAGCCGAGGAUGGCGUUGUAGGGGAGGCCGAUGGGGGCGAUGUCGAAGUCGACCAGCUCCGUGCGGAAGUUGUCGUAGGUGUCGAAGGUCACUGGGAGCCGGAUCUGUCCCAAGGAGCCGGACGACCUAUCCCCAAUGCCUGAGAAGGGCCGACUGGGCUGCAGCCGUUCCAGGGGUAUGCUGAGGAGGUUGAAGGCCUCGACUGAGAGCACGCUGAGGCCUGCCCCGCCAUCGAUGAGAGUUCUGGUGACGGCCACCUGGCAGAUGGUGGGGGUGCACAGCAUGGGGAGCGCGCCCGAGUAGGCCGAGUUGGAGGGGUGGUCCUCCGAGCUGAAGUUCAGGCCGGUCUCAGGUGCCGCCCGAUCCAGGGGAGCCCCCUGCCGCGUGGAAGCGGCGCUGACCCGGCGGAUGAACGGCUUGACGUGGUAACUUGUAGGCGGCGCCUGCGAGCCACUCAAGAGGGCCGCGACGACUAGGGGUGUCGGUGCAGCGCGAUAGGCGGGGGAGAGGUUGCGGGGCCCCAUGGGCGCGCGGAGCGCGUGGGACGAAGAACCGGAUGGGGCGAGCGAGGGAGUUGUGGUGCGGCCGUCUUGGCGCACGGAUGGAUGCUGAGGCGAUGCUUGCUGCCCGUCUCCCGUCGGGCCGGUGGCGGCGUUGACGGCAGGUGAUGGGGAACGGCAAGGACGUCAGCCGACAGGGGCCGUUUGGGCGACGCGGGAAGCAAGGGCGGCCAGGCGCUCCGCGCGGGCCCGACGAGGUUCAGACAUGAGCGCGAUGGUCGGAGGAGAACAGGGUAACGGAAGACGAAUUCCUGCGCACCCCUACCUGGCGCGCCAAAUGUUGGAUUUCGGGUUCCGGCAGACCCUUGAGGUUCGAACACUGGGGUGCGCGCGGAGAUUUCGCCUCCUACCUACCUGCACCCCUCUGCCAUGCUAGGAUCUAAACUAAGGAAAGAACAACACAAGAGACACAGGGUUUAUACUGGUUCUGGCCACCGUUGUGGUGUAAUACCCUACUCUAGUGUGUGGUGUGGUGGAUUGCCUCUUGGGCUGAUGAUGAUGAACAAUACAAGGGAGAACAGCCUCGCGAGGGUCUGUUCUUGGCUGAGGGGAUGAACUGCUGGGAGGAGUUCAGCCACCUCUCUCUCUCUCUCUCUCUACUCCCCUCCGACCGACCCACUUGCUGUGUGGGUGGCUGGUCCUAUUUAUAGAGGCCCUGGUCCUCUUCCCAAAUAUUGAGCGGGAAGGGAGCCAACAAUGGCGGGCUAUUUUGAAGGGGGACAACAAGUAUCAGCUAUCCUGACAAAAGUAGUCUUCGCCUGCGCAAAGCUCUGGUGAUGACGCCGUCUUGGGCUCCACGGUGACCUCCAUCUCGUAGUCCUCCUGGUCUUGGUCUUGUUGCACCGAAAUGGCAACCUUUGCCUGAUGCCUCGGUACUCCGCGGCUGCGCUUGCCCCCUUUGCACCAAAGAGGAAAGGAGGAUGCUGCGCGGGCUGGCACCCGUCUGGCGCCCUGAGCUGUCAUGGCUUGCGUCAUGGGCACCUUGUGAGGUACCCCGCCUUGAUCUCUCCACCUCCUCGUGAGCCAGCCUGACGAGGCCGUGCCCGAGGAAGCUUCACGUCGUCCGCCCCGCGAGGCUUGGCCCCUCGCGAGGAUCUUGGGUUUGUGUUGGUGAAGAUGGGUCGUGCUGGGCCCCCCUUUGAGCCACGCCGCAGGCCGCAGGCAGGCAAGUCUGGGGACCCCUGUUCCCAAAACACCGACAACCUCCAUACAGGUGCCUCUCCCGAUGCUCCACCAUGUAGAGGCUGGCUCUUGCUUGAGAGCCCACUCCUGCACUUUUUCCUUGCCUCUUUCCCCCACAUAUGCAAAAAUGCCAUGUAAAGCAGGCUUAUAGCCCACUAUUGUACUUGAUCCUACAGGUGCUAAGCCUGCCACAUAGGCAUAAAGUCUGAUGUGGCAAGUUAAUUAAGAAGAGAGAGACUCGUUUGGUGACCCCAAGAAGAAACGGUGAUAAGCGCGUGUACCUAGAUGAAGCAAACUUAGCAACAACAAACUAACCACCUAUGCAUUGGGGACUUGAGUUGCUAAGCCAUUUAAUGCCCAUAGCACCUCAUCUAAGCACCAUUUCAUUGGAAGAGGUCACUCCUUGGCAAAUGCAAUAAAUACUACGAAGAAAGAGAUAGAGAGAACUAAACAAAAAAUACUCCUAUAGCCAACCUUAUAGCUAACCUUGUUGUAUGAGUGACUAAGUGAUGACUAUGUAUGACAUGCCAACAUCAGAUAGCCUAAUGCACCGUGUUAAAUCUCCAAGGGUGCGACCGUGUGAGCAAGGCGACGGUCGUGGUAGGCGCGACCAUGAUACGGGCUGCUGGCGGCCCUUGGAUCUGAGAUCAAACGGUCGCAUGCUAAGUUGCUGAAAAUUUGCAGAAUAACCCUCCAGGAUAGGAUAUUCACCCAUAGGUCUAGAAUCUCGCCAUGCAACCGUUCGACAUUUUUACAAUCGAUAAACCACUCCUAGUCGUCUCGUCCUUUCACAUUACGGCAGUUCCACUAAUCCUAACCCUCCUCCGAAAUCCAUGGCGUCCCAAAUCUCCAUGAUCGGCGGUGAGUACAAGGUUAGAACCAUCACCGGUGAUGAGUUCGACGUCAUCUACACCCGUUCUUCUGUAAGGGUGAAAGAAUGCCUUUCUUGCUUCAAACGCAUGUUCGAAAACUCAAAUGAUGAGUGGGUCGCUGGGCUAGAUGUUGAGUACACCAUAGUCCUGGGAAGCGAGAAGAAUCUAAAGGAGGCAGAUAAGAAGAAGCCCACCGUGAUCCAGGUUUGCGUGCAUGACUUAUGCUUGGUCUACCACAUAUGCCAUGCCGACAUUGAGUGCGAGGAAUUUAAGAAGUUCCUCAAGGGUGGCCGAAUCAAAUUCGUUACUAUAGACUUUAGGAAUGACAAGGAAAUCCUGGGUCGGAUAGGCCUUGUUGUAGGCGACCCCUUCGACCUCCAGAAGGAAGGGCUGGUGCCCUCCCUUGAUCAGCCUUCAAUGCUGACCCUGGCAGGAGCCAUGGUUCAUCCUUCGUACGGUGAACUGAAGAAACCUCCACGUACGUUUCAUCAUGCAUGGCAGUGGACUGUACUAGAUAUAGACCACAUCCACUACGCUGCAAUGGAUGGCUGCCUUUGUUUCAAUAUCUACAAGGGUUGGAGGAAGAGCAAGAGCCAAGUGUGUGGUUCAAGCAAAGAAGUAUCGCCCCAGAGGAAGAGGGACAAGGACGAAGUCGAGGACGUGGACGAGGACUCCGAGUAAGGUGGCAGUGUCGUUGCUCAUGGUGGUUCUAAUGCACUGUCUACCGGAUUAGUUGCUUAGUUUAAUUUCUGGUGUGCUUAGUUUUAUUUGAGGGGUGUGUUGUGCUGAGCCCCCAGCAGAACUAUGUUAUGUUUCUUCUCGUUAUAUUUCGUACAUUUCAUCUUUUAGUUGGUAUAGUACUACCACUCGUUUCUUCACCUUAUAUACGUACAAUAUAUAUGGCCAACAUCAUAUAGCCAGCAGUUUAGUUGUCAAAGAAUUUCAGGGUGCUUAGUUUUGUCAAAGAAUUCCAGGGUGCUUAGUUUUGUCAAAGAAUUCCAGGGUGCUUAGUUUUAUUUGAGGGGUGUGUUGUGCUGGACACCAUUAACUUAUCAUUGUGAGAAUCGGCUUAUUUUUGUCAUGUAACAUGGUCAAUGGGUUUGACGUGAAAAUAACAAUGUCUAAUGGCAUUUCUGAGCAAACAUCUAACUUAACGAUUGCACUUUUUAGAUAUCUAAUUGCAUUUUUGAGCAGGCAUCUCAUGGAUCGAUGGCAUUUUUUGAGUAGUUGUAACUUCUAAUGGCAAAACUGAGUAGUGAUACACAACUAGUGGCAUAAAUAAUGGGAACCCAAGAAUUAAAUAGGUAUGCUAAUUUCUUUAUUUCUUUAUACCUUUGUGUGCGAAACAAUAUACGCUGCCUCCCCCAGAUUUUCUUUACAGAGGCAACAUAGAACUAUAUGAGUGCCAUGUUAAAUUUUGGAAUUAUUCCAGGUUCGUUUGGCUUUUUUAUACAUUAAUUGAGUUUCUGGUCAUUUAAUGUGCAUAAUUCAAAUUUGAACUACAAGCACAUGCUCCCAUGCACCAAAGUUGAUUGAAAAUUCACAUGUGUGCCCUCGGGUGAAUUUCUAGGUCCCAUGCAAUAAAUGGGAAUGAAAUUCAAACAUCUGGGCAUCGUGGUUCGACCGAGAACAUUGAGAAGCUUGGUUUUAAAAUUCUUGUAAAUCCAAAACACGCCUGAAAAUCAUGAAACUUGGCAUGGUGUCAUGUCAUGGUACUACCAUGUUGUGGUAAAAAAAUUGUAGAAUAGGAACAAGUUUUGGUAUAAGUUUCUUGUAAACCGGAGCUUCUCUCAAGAAGGCUCAUGGUUCUGAGAGGGAACGUGUCACCUUUGUGUGCCUAAUUCAAAUUUUAAAUACAAGCACAUGCUCCUGUGCAUCAAAGCUGGUUGAAAAAUCACAUGUGUGUCCUCGGGUAAAUUUCUAGGUCCCAUGCCAGAAAUGGAAAUGAAAUUCAAACUUCUGGGCGUCAUGGCUCGGCUGGAAACAUUGAGAAACUUGGUUUUGUAAUUCCUGUAAAUCCGAAACACGCAUGAAAAUUAUGAAACUUGGCUUGGUGUCAUGACAUGGAACCAACAUACUUUGGUAAUUUUGCUGUCCGAUUUGCGAAGGUGCACACAUUAACAAUCAACAAAGUCAUUUUGGAACAAGUGUUGUCACGUUACAAUCGGAAACACAAGUAUUAUUGAAACCGUGGGCGUUCUAUUUACCAUUUACGUGCCACCACACGUCCCCUUUUUUAUUCGCUAGGAGGCGCCGUGCAGGGUAGCUAUUUGAGUACGGGAGGCGUGCUAGCCAUUUGACCUCCAUCUGCCGUCCACCUCUCUCCCAAGGUCUCCAUUAAUGGCGCUCGAGUCUCUGUUUAAUGGCGUGGCAAUGUCUCACUCGACUGAGAUUUAAGAGAGAAAAAAGAAAAUCUGAAAAUAAAAUUUUGCACGGAUCUUGAUGUAAGAUCCGACGGACCUAUAUAGCAUCUACUUCGACUUAUAGCAAGACUGAUGAAUAUAUAUAAGGACGACGAGGGUGGAUAACAAUUGUCUUACAUAAUUAGGAAGAUAAUUAAAAAAGGCACAUGCGGAUAUGCCCGAAAUACACAAGGGCAAAAGAAGAAGGAAGACGCAUACAAUGAUCUGGCUCGCUGAUCUCUACUUUCUUUAUGCGAUGCAGGUCGCGGAUACUAGUUCUCGCGGCGGGCGAUGAUCUCUUUCAUCAGUUUCAUGUCCUUAAUAUGCUGCUUGGCAGCAUCCAUGGAUUCCUCCACCAGCCUGUUGCGCUCGAUGCGGAGCAUGGCAUUCUCGUCCAUAAAUUUCUUGAUGAUGACAUCUGUCCUCUGCAACAAGGCAGCGGUCUCCUCCUCCUGCUUUGCCCUUCCGGUGAUCUUCGCCCUCAGCAGGUUGCGCUCGCCCCGGAGCUUCGCAUUGCCCUCCCCUAGUUGCCGGAUGACGCUGGUAGCCUCGUCCUGCAACCUCACCCAGCCGGAGAUCUGAUCCAUCUGGCUAUGGACCAUUGCAUGCAUGCGCCUGUAAGAGUCCUCGCCUGCCCGCGAGAAAUUUUCCCAGGCCGCCGCGGCGCGGCGAGACCUCCGUGCUACUUCUGCGGUGCGGCGACACAUCUCUGCUGCUUCCGUGGUGUGGCCGGACCAGUCUGCUACAUCGAUGGUGCGGCGGGACCUCCGUGCUACUUCGGCGGUGCGGCGGGACCUCUGUGCUUCUACUGCUACGCGGCUGGACAUGUCGGUUGCUUUCGCGGCGAGGUGGGACAUCUCUCGUGCUUCCCCUUCCAUGCUCACCUCUCCCUUGUGGAAAUCUCUCGACCUAGAACUCACGCUGGCUAUGGUUUGAUUGACUUGAUUGUUUUUUGUGGAUGAGGAGUUGAGGAGGAAUGUGCAGUCAUCUUAGCAUAGUAGUAUUUAUAACCGAGUACUACUAAUACGCUCCUAAGUGGGAAACCGUUUAGGUUGUGAUCGGUGUGAACAGUUUGCAAUUAAAUAUAGCGUGGUAGUAGUAGUAAUUUGGAAUGUGACAAGACGCGCUCAAAAUUUAUUGACGGUUCUAGUUUCGAAGUGCGGCACUAUUCCCGGAUGGCGUAACGUCAGCACGUUUUCUCGGCCAUGGUAUAGCACAUGCCAUGGUACUAGUUCUUUUUCUACUGCUGUGUACGUGCAAAAACUGGCACCGUCGGAUACAUAUCUUACGCUUGGCGUUCGACAAGAAUAGCCUCGUGGCGAGCUAUAGACUAGUCUUUUUUCAGAAGCAUUACACCUAUCUAUCGGGACUUCUCGCACGCACCAUCCACUACUAGAAAAAGGGCUAUAGAUGGGAUUGACACUAAUGGCAAACCAGACAAGCGGUGCGCCAUUAGUAUAUACUAAUGGCGCACCACCUUAUGAUACGCCAUUAGAGCUGAAACUACUAAUGGCGCACCUGGCCCAGGGUGCGCCAUUAGUAUCAAUUUUUUUUCUGAACUAGUGUGCCUGUCCAAACAUACUAAUGGCGCAUCCAGACACAGUGCGCCAUUACUAGUUGUAACUAGUAAUGGCGCACCUGUCGGAAAGUGCGCCACUAAUGUUGUUUUUUUUAUUAUAUUUUUAUUCCUGCGCCAUUACUAGUUUAAACUAGUAAUGGCGCACUGCGGAACAGUGCGCCAUUAGUAUGUUUUUUUUGCAAAACUACUAAUGGCGCACCACCAGAAGGUGCGCCAUUAGUAACCUGGAUUACUAAUGGCGCAUUUAGAGUUGGUGCGCCAUUAGUAAGUGGGCAGCAACAAGAUAUUUUGGACAGCCUCUCCUACCCACACUCACUUUCUCCCCACUUCAUUCUCUCCACCUCCUCCUUGUCUCGGGUGCCUCCUCUUUUUCACCUCAUUUCCACCAUAGAUUCAUUCAAUUUAAGUGGUUAAAUUACCUUGUUUUGAUAGGUAAGUAAGGGGGGAAGCUAUAUUUAUGUUGUUCUCCCUACAACAAUGUGCACAUGCACUUUUUAUGGACUAGCUAGAUCUAUGUAUGUUCGUGGUGUUGCAUAUGUUUGUGGUGUUGCAUAUGUGUUUGUGUUUGGAGGUGUACCGGUAUUUGAAAUGCGAUAGUUGCCAAUAUUUUUCCGGAAAUUGAUUCAUUUCCGUUUCGGCGAGAAUUUUGGCAUUAAGCAUUCUUUUUGGUCCUAUUUUUAGGGAAAGUCAUGCCAAAUUUUUUCUUGGUUCUAAAAUAUCGUUUUGCUCUACCCCGCAGGCGACCAUGGUCCGCACGAUGACCGAAGGCAUCGUGAAUAGGUUUUUGAGGUCCGCGAAGGCCGAGAUGCUUCAAAAGAACGAGACGGAGAUAAGAUGUCCGUGUCGAAGAUGCAAGCUGAAGAGCCUUAUUGCGGACCCGGAAUCCGGGCAGGUGCGGGACCACCUGCUCUUGCAUGGUUUCAUGGAUGGCUAUCAGUGGCAAGGUGAUGAAGAUGACUACGAAGUCGUCCAUGGGGGCCGGGCAAGAAAUGACGAAGGGCAGCAAGACAAACACCGCGGCUCGGGCAGGCGAGAAUACGAAGAAUCCCCAGGAGAUGAUCACGACAGUGAUGUUGUACACAAUCAUCAUGUAGAAGAUGCAGGACAUGAUGAUGAGGAAGAUGCCGGAGCAGACGACGGGCAUGAUCAUGAAGAUGAUGAUGCCGGCGGAGCAGACGAUGCUGGACCAUCGAUGGGCUGGGUGCAGGACCCUCAUAUUCAAGAGCUGCUUCUCAAGCAGACGGAUAACGCAAGAGCUGCCGCCCGAGAGAAAGCCAAGAUGGAUCAACUUGAGUUAGACGCGGUUACUCCAUUGUAUGAAGGAUGCAGGCCCAAGGAUACCCGCCUGAAAGUAACGCUCAUGGCUCUGGAGAUGAAGGUAAAACACAAAAUGACCGACGCAUGCUUCGACGAGAACAUGUCAUUCUGGCACGAACGUCUUCCCAAGGGGAACAAGUGCCCGACCAGUUUGGAGGAGGCAAAGAAAAUCGUGUGUCCUCUAGAUUUACCACACGUGAAAUACCAUGUGUGCAUGAACAAUUGCAUCAUUUAUCGGGACGAGCACGCGGAGUCUACCAUAUGUCCGGUGUGCGGCGUCACUCGAUACAAGAAGAGGAAGAAAGCUCCUCGAAAAGUGGUGUGGUACUUUCUGAUCACUCCUCGUCUGCAGCGGUAUUUCGCGGACCCUAAGGUAGCAAAGCUCCUGUGUUGGCACGCGGAUAGGGAGGAGAAGAAGCGAGAAGAUGACGCAAAUGAUCCGGAGAUAGAUAAAAAAGACAAGAUGUUGAGUCACCCUAAGGAUGCGAGCCAGUGGCAAGCGUCGAACUUCGAAGACCCAGAAUUUGGGAACGAUCCAAGGAACAUCGUGCUGGGCGCGAGCACCGAUGGAGUCAAUCCGUUUGGUAGCCAGAGAAGCACACAUAGCACCUGGCCUGUGUUUGUGUGGAUGUACAACCUUCCCCCCUGGUUGUGCAUGAAGAGGAAGUACAUUCACAUGAGUAUGCUAAUUGAAGGACCGAAACAACCAGGGAACGACAUCAAUCUGUAUCUGGGGCUGCUGAAAGAGGAGCUUGACACGCUGUGGAAAACGCCAGCCAAUACGUGGGAUGCCGCAGAGAAAGAAUAUUUCCCUAUGAGAGCCGCGCUGCUCACGACGGUGCACGACUAUCUCGGUUACGGAUAUGUCGCGGGGCAGGUGGUCCACGGAUUUUCUGGAUGCGUCAGGUGCAUGGAUGACACAACGUAUCGCCAGCUAGAUAGAGAUCCCGGGUCUUCGAAAACCGUGUUCAUGGGACAUCGAAGGUGGCUUCGCGACGAUGACCCGUGGAGAAAACGCAAGGAUCUGUUCGAUGGUGAAACCAAACCCCGAGGACGCCCGCGUACGAGGAGCGGCGAGGAAAUAGACGAGCUGUUGAAAAAUUGGAAAGACUGCCCACUACCAGGAAAGAAGCAAAAGGUGCCAGAGCUGGGAAAGAAGCGAAAGGCGCUAGAGCCGCUGCUGAAGGUAUGGAAAACGAGAUCUGUUUUCUGGGACUUGCUGUACUGGAAGAUCCACCGUGUGCCUCACAGCCUUGAUGUCAUGCAUAUCACGAAGAACGUGUGCGAGAGUCUGCUUGGUACCCUGCUCAACAUGCCAGAGAGGACCAAAGAUGGGCCGAAAGCAAGGGCAGACUUGAAAUCAAUGGGCAUCAGGCAGGAGCUUCACGCUAUAUAUGAUGAUGAUGAUGAUAAUGAUGAUGAUGAGGCGAAGCAGGACACGGAAAGUCGUCGCAAAGGCAAAAAGGCCAAGAAGACCGGAAAUGACUACCCUCCUGCGUGCUUCACUCUAAGUCAGGAGGAGAUCGAGCAGUUUUUCACCUUCCUCGUAGGAGUAAAACUUCCUUAUGAUUACGUGGGGAAGAUAAGCAGAUACCUAGACCCAGCGAAGCUGAAGUUCAGUGGGAUGAAGUCUCACGACUGUCACGUGCUGAUGAUGCAGAUACUUCCAGUUGCAAUCCGUGGGAUCAUGGACGCGCACGUCCGUGAAACCCUAUUUAGCCUACGCAACUUUUUCGACGUCAUCUCUCGGAAGUCUGUUGGCGUGAGGCAACUCAGAAGGCUACAGGAAGAGAUCGUGGUGAUACUAUGCGAGCUUGAGAUGUACUUCCCGCCCGCAUUCUUCGACGUUAUGGUGCAUCUGCUGGUCCAUAUUGUGGACGAUAUCAUCCAACUCGGGCCGAUGUUCCUGCACAGCAUGAUGCCGUUCGAAAGGAUGAAUGGUGUCAUCAAAGGAUACGUUCGCAACAUGUCACGUCCAGAGGGAAGCAUAGCCAGGGGCUUUCUGACCGAAGAGUGCAUCUCCUACUGCACGAAUUAUUUAGGCAUCGAGAACCCCGUUGGUCUGCCCGUCAACAGGCACCUCGGCAGGCUCGCUGGAUGGGGUCACCGUGAGGGUCGCCGCGAAAUGCAUGUCGACUUCGAGGGUCGACUCGCCGACUUUGAAAGAGCAAACCUAGUCGCGCUACAACACAUAGACGUGGUCGAUCCUUGGGUGGUAGAGCACAAAACCUUUAUUAAGAAGACGUACAAUGACCGAGGCCAACAGAGGACGGACGGAGAUAUACUCAAAGAGCACAACUCAUGUUUCACGCGUUGGUUCAAGCAGAAGCUUAUGUCGUACCCUUUACAUGAGGAUUCUUCCGCGGAAGAACAACUCAUAUUCGCCUUGUCACAGGGCGCCGAGCACAACCUGAUGACCUAUGAGGCGUACGAUAUCAACGGCUACACAUUCUACACCGAGGCCAAGGACAUGAAGAGCGAUGGUUAUCAGAACUCCGGGGUAACGAUGGAAUCCUACACCGGUAACGACAAGGACAGAUACUACGGAAGGAUCGAGGAGAUCUGGGAGCUGAGCUACGCUCGAGAGAAGGUCCCGAUGUUCCGUGUCAGAUGGGCCAAGAGCGUCCUAAAAGAAGACCGGUAUUUCACCACCAUGGUUAUACCCGAAGCCAAAUCCAAGACUGCGGGCGCAAACGUCACCGCGAAAAAUGAGCCAUGGGUACUGGCUUCCCAAGUGGACCAAUGCUUCUUCAUUACCGACCCGUCAAAGCCCAGUCGUGUUGUCAUGAGGAGAGGCAAAAGGAAGAUCAUCGGAAUGGAUGGAGUAGCCAAUGAGCAAGACUUCGACAAGUACGGCGACCCGAGGAUUGAACAUGACGACGAUGAUGAAGUAGCAGUAUACACCACAAGAAGAAGCAAGACCACCCUACCUAAAGGACGUCCAUUCCACAGAAGAACUCCAUUUGCGAAAAAGAAGGGCAAGAAGAUUGUGAACAGAUAGCUAGCUAAGAUCGAUUGUAUUUAAAUCGUAGCCUUCAUUUCUCGAUUGUAUUUCAUGGGCACUUUUUGAACUAUCAUGAAUAUUUUUAAAUUUCAUGGACACUCGAUCUCGAUCCCCCUCCAUCUCGAUCGCUAUCCCACCUCGCCAGAUCCGGUCCCCCUCGCCGCCGAGCACCCCCCGGUCCACCGGCCGCCGCCGCCGACCCCCCGCACCCUCGAUUCCCCUACUCAACCGCCGCCGCCGACUCCCCGCACCCCUCCCCUACUCAACCACCGCCGCCGACCCCCCGCACCCCGCGCACCCUCCCCCGCUCCACCGGCAUUACUGUUUGAUGAUAUUUUUUAAAAAAUUAUUGCUGUCUUAUAAAAAAAUAUUACUGUUAUGAUUUAAACAAGUUUGAACAUAUUUAAACACAAAUAAGUAUCAAACAUCAUUUUAAAUGCAUAAAAAAAAUUUGUGGAGCCUGGGAAUCGAACCCAGGACCUCCUGGUGUGAGAACUGGCUGCUGACCAGUCGAGCUAGUAGAGGGAACUUGGUGUGGAUCAGGUCAGGUGGAAGAUAACCUGUUGGCUCGAGCAGAAAUCAAAAAAAAAUACUAAUGGCGCACCACGGUGGGGUGCGCCAUUAGUAUUGUGCCAUUAGUAUUGACAAAGAGAUUUCACCUAACAAAAAAGGUCAGCGCCCACGCCAUGCUCUUUCUCUCCCCUCUGUCUCUCUCCCCUCACUGCGCCGUCCCCGUGCCCGAGCCGCCCCCGUCGCCGCCGACCCCCACCGCCCUCGCCGCCGCUCCCGACCCCCACCACCCUCGCCGCCCCUGACCCCCUGCCGCCCUGCCACGCCAGUCCACCACCCCCCANNNNNNNNNNNNNNNNNNNNNNNNNNNNNNNNNNNNNNNNNNNNNNNNNNNNNNNNNNNNNNNNNNNNNNNNNNNNNNNNNNNNNNNNNNNNNNNNNNNNNNNNNNNNNNNNNNNNNNNNNNNNNNNNNNNNNNNNNNNNNNNNNNNNNNNNNNNNNNNNNNNNNNNNNNNNNNNNNNNNNNNNNNNNNNNNNNNNNNNNNNNNNNNNNNNNNNNNNNNNNNNNNNNNNNNNNNNNNNNNNNNNNNNNNNNNNNNNNNNNNNNNNNNNNNNNNNNNNNNNNNNNNNNNNNNNNNNNNNNNNNNNNNNNNNNNNNNNNNNNNNNNNNNNNNNNNNNNNNNNNNNNNNNNNNNNNNNNNNNNNNNNNNNNNNNNNNNNNNNNNNNNNNNNNNNNNNNNNNNNNNNNNNNNNNNNNNNNNNNNNNNNNNNNNNNNNNNNNNNNNNNNNNNNNNNNNNNNNNNNNNNNNNNNNNNNNNNNNNNNNNNNNNNNNNNNNNNNNNNNNNNNNNNNNNNNNNNNNNNNNNNNNNNNNNNNNNNNNNNNNNNNNNNNNNNNNNNNNNNNNNNNNNNNNNNNNNNNNNNNNNNNNNNNNNNNNNNNNNNNNNNNNNNNNNNNNNNNNNNNNNNNNNNNNNNNNNNNNNNNNNNNNNNNNNNCACCCCGCCACCCCGGUGCCCCGGUGAGCUUCCCCCUGUUUAGGAUGUUAGUUUACUCAUAGAUUUUGUCUCGGUGGUCCCUUAAUUGUCGGCCUCACUUCAGGCAUCGAGCAACAUCAACUUCCCCCCAACACAGUUACCAUUUUUUAACUGUACAUGGUUGUUCUCUCUGAAAAACACUAGUAGGCCUUGGAAGCGGUUGUGUAUAAUUCAGCAGUUACAUAGUUUAUAGUUUCUGAAUUUCUCAAAUUUGGUUCUUUCUGUUUGUGUUUUGACUGUUACAUAUAGUUUCAGCGGUUAGCCAUUGCGAUUAAGGAAUAUACUUUGAGAAGAACAAACACCAGUUAUAAAAAUUGUUUCAUUGCACCGUCAAUGACGGGUGAGAUGGCAGCACCCAUGGAGUUCAUUUGGUUCAGUUUCUAUAGUGCAGUUAAGAGUAUUAGUGCUUACCGUUAUUGAGUAAAAAAAGGAAAAGACAAGCAAUGUGAAAGAAUCAGAUUACGUGUGGUAGAGAGAAGUUCCUUCAUUUUUUUCUAAGUGCACUGCAGUACUUGUUCCUUUGUGCACCAUAAGUAAAACUAGCUAAUUUUAUGAAAAUGUAUCAUAUCACUGUCCGUGACUCUCUCUUUUUAAGUCCACAUUCUGUUGGUGGCUCGGUUAACUCCUAGGGUUUUAGCAGUUAUGUAUAAAAAACAUAGAAAAGCCCGACGGAAUUAACUUUGGCUUUUCUGCAUUUAACUAAAAAACCCAUAAAGAGUACAGUUCAUUAUUGAAUAAAAUGAAAUGGCAGUUUAUUUAGAAAUUUGGAGCAGUUGUUCUAUGGUUUUUUUAGCACAAAAAGUCUGAUUAUAUAAGCAAAAACAAUUGUUAGCUUUUAGAUGUUGUGGUGGUUCACUUGGGGGUAUGUGUAGCAGUUAGCAAAAACAGAGGACUAAAGUGCUCUGUUUUAGCAAACCAGUGCAUGCAUGCCUUUUUUCUUCUUCAUUUUUUUUCACUGACGACGAAUGCUGGCAACUCGACAGUAGCUAGCUAGCAGGUGUUCCUUUACAAGCAUAGUAGAGCAUAGUAUGGAUUCUAAUGUUCAACUCUGACUAAACAGGUUCUGCAAACGGUCUUUUACUGCACUUGACUGAAGAAGUAGGUGUCUGCUAUAUCCUACACUUGAGGUGAGAUGUGUUCUCAGGUUUACAUUGCAAUGGGCACUCUUCUUGUAAACACAAAUUCAGAUUUAUAUACUAUAUGCUGGCAUGACUAUUUUUAUUAGGCAGGACAGUGCAGUAGUUGAUGUAUCUUGGGUUGAUUAUAAAGUUGCUUGGGUUUAAUAUUACCCAGCAUGAUGAUGUAUCAAUGUAGCGUUAGCAUAUGAGCCAAGCGCUAGUACUGCUAGUAAAUAGCUAAUACAGUUAAUGAAGAAGAAAAAAAACUGCUAGUACAGUUAAUGAAGAAGAAGAAAACUGCUACUACUGCUAGUAAAUAGCAUCAGACUGAUUGUCUUUUAUAUAUGGCCAAUACAGUCUCAUGGACAAUACAGUUAUUGAAGAAGAAGAAAAACUGCUAGUACUGCUAGUAAAUAGCAUCAGACUGAAUGUCUUUUAUAUAUGGUACUGCUAGUAAAUAGCUUCUUCUAUAUACUAAUAUGCAUCAAAGUGUAGAACAAAGCAUCAUACUGAAUAACUAACAGUGGGUAAUUAAUUUGCUGGUACUAGCUAGAAUUUGGCACUGAAAAGCAAAAGCAAAAUCUAAUUAACUGCUGGGUAAUAGCACUGGUACUAGGUAGCUAAAAUAUGUGUUCUGAAACACUGAGAGCAGAAACACUUACUACAUACAUAUGCUCAAGAAACACUUACUAACCAGAAAAGGUUUUGACUUGAAAUGUUAAUAGCACAGAGAGCACCACAAGUCAAACACCUCAAUCUGUUAGUAUUUGUCUGCAUUUUCUCACAUUCUUCUUGUAUCUGAUCCAGUAUUGCUUGUAGUGGUUUGUCCAAAAUGUUGAAUGAUACUGCUUGGAGAUGCAUAUAUUGUUUCACCUCUUCACAUGCCAAUGUAUUUUCCAUGUUAUGAUGGAGGCCUUUUUUGCCUUAUCCACCCGAGAGGCCCUUGAGUUUGCUGGAAUGUCGAUUAACUCCCGUUCUGGCAAAUUCGGGUACUCCAUAUGUCGGGUACUCCACCCGAGAGGCCCUUGAGUUAUGCAUGGCUUUUAGGGUGCCUCGGUGUCGAUAAAAACCGAAAUGAUGAAAGCUUAGGCUUUUAGGGUGCCUCGGUGUCGAAAAACCCUCAAUGAUAAAAGCUUAGCUUUUAGGAUGCCUCGGUGUCGACAAACCCUAAAUGAUGAGACCAUGAUCUUGUUCCUUGACAAUAACCAACUUUUUGACCAAACUUUGUUCCUAUUUAGAGAGAAACAUGGCCAACAACGAUGAGGCCGGGGGUUCGGGCGGCAAGGCAUUCUGGAAGUUGUCCCAGGAGAUGGAGGAACAACCUCACUUGUAUGAGGACGCCGCCUUCCCCACCGAUCCUGAGACCACUGAUGGUACCGCCGAGGAUGACCCCACUAAUGCCACCACUGAUGGUGCCGCCGAGGAUGCCACCACUGAUGAUGGCGGCGCACGCACAGAUGGCAGCCAACCGAAGAGGCAACGGAAGGACCGGCGCCCAACCGUGCUCCGCACCCUCAAGGAGGAAGUUACUGAAGUGGACUCCGACGGGAACCCAACGGCGCCCGAAUGAAUAGUCAAGGGGUACUCGCUUCAGCUCGGGUGCAUUCUCCGGAGCACCGUCUCGAUCAACACCGAGAACCUGAGGCAUCCUGACCGAGGGAAUUUGCGCAACCUCCUCUUCAUGAAGCUGCACGAACGAUACAAGUUCCCCGCUGAAUUUGAAAACAUAAGCCUCAAAGGGAAUAAAGUGAACAAUGCUGCCCUCACGAAGAUGAGCAAGGCCCUGUCUACUUGGAAAAGCAAUGUGAAGAGAAUGAUCGAGAAAGGUGAGAGUUAUGACAAGAUCAAGGAGAAAAAUCCUUCGAUCACCGAAGAUGACUACAACGACUUCAAGAUCAAUUGCUCGAGCACCGCAAACUCCGAAUCAAGUAAGUGGGGGAAAGAAAUGCGGGAGCUGAACUUAGGGGAACACACACUCGGUCCCAGCGGUUACAGAGUGGCGGAGCCUAUAUGGGACAAGGAGGAGGCGGACCGUGCCGAGCAAGGCCUACCGCCCCUCUUCGAUAAAUACGGUGACAAGCAAACCAGGAACUUUGUCACGGCCCGGUACAAGAAGGACCCGAAAACAAAGGAGCUUACCACGGAUCCGAAGACCAGGGCGCUUGAGCUUGUUCUGGUAAGGAAUACACCCCCGUGUAAUUAGCUCCAUAUGGUUGCAUUCUAAUUAAUGAAGCCAAAUUUCUAAAUGGUGCACAUUCCUUCCGCAGGCGACUGAAAGCAGUAGUGCGGGGUCGACUAAGAGCAACCCUUGGGACACCACUCUAAAUAGGGCGUUGAAUGUAAUGAAGAACAAGGAUAAGCUCAGUAAGCCGACGUCAGCUGGUCGUGUGGCCGGCAAAGGCUUGUCGACAAAAUGGUCGUCAUACUAUAACACUGGUGGGCGAAAGGAGAAAAAGACCAGCUCGGAAAGCCAGGCGCGCGAGGUUCAAGAACUCAGGGCACAGGUGGCGCGGAUUCCGGAGAUUGUCCAAGAGCAAGUGGAACAACAACUCGGAAGGAUGAUCACCGCCAUUGUGCCUACUUUGAUCCAGGGGAUCAGUGCGUGGAUUGCGGGCGGCCAACAGGGGCCACCCCCGAUUCCUAGCUUCACGGCCAGCAACUCGCAGAACGCAAUGGCGGGGCCAUUGGUGUCUCCGACGCCGGCACGGGAGCUUAAUGCACCCGGGUGUACGCCGGCCGGCACCUCUGCAGCAAGCGGCCCCUCCGUCAACUGCACGCCCGCCGUUGGCGGUGCCUCGACAUUAGCCGAGCUCGACGCCAUCAUCACGGUAACUAAUUAAGCCUCUCUCGGCCGAGGACUUCAUAUCCUUGCCUUUGACUGGGCAUCCCUGACGCCCUACAUGUUUUCGCAGGGCGCCGCCGAUGUUCUGUGCACUCUCCUGCACUUCAUGAACAACGAGUUGGUCGAUGUCGCCAAGGGCAAAAUCGUUCAACCGGGCAACCCCUUGUUCCACGGUACCCAGAUGCCACCUAACUUGUUUAGGGUUCAACUGGUUCGGGUGCUGCCAGGCUGCGACGAGUUGUUACCUCCGAUUCGACCCGUUGGGGCCGACGAUGAUGAUGUGAUGACCCUCAGCGCCUGCCUGAGCUGGCCCCUGCUUUGGCCGAAGAGCCAGAUUCAUUUGGGGGCGGGGGACACCACCCCAAAGACAACACCGCCAGUCGUGCCGGCGCCAAGUCGGCCCCAUGGCAAGACCGCCGCAACGGUGCCGAACAUCCCUAUGCCACUGGAUCCAAACAUGCAUAUGGCACAGGAUCAGAAUGACGACGACUACGAUACAUUUGCCAACGUCGAUCGGUACUUUGCCGAUCAUGGGUACGGUGGCGACUUCAUGGGGCCUCCUUCUCAAGAACCCAACCCAACAAAAGACAUGCGCGAUCUAGCUGGUACCGCGGAGAAGCCAAGUUGCAACAGACGUCGUCUGCCGUUUAGCUCUCAGGAGACGCCUCCAGCUGCCGACUUCACCGAGCCUCAGAUAGGCGAGGUGUGAAAUAUUAUCAGCCCCUACACACUCAAGAAGGCGGUCUGUGAGCAGAACUCGGUCCCAUUACAGGAGAAGAAGAAGGCAUGCAAAAGAAAGACUAACAAGGGUGCGGGCCAGCGGGCACCGAGUACGAUCCGUGCUCAGGACGGGCCACAUUCACCUGAGGAUAUCUCAAGGAGGGUGCAUGUGGCGGGUAGGCCGAUGCUACCGAGAAAUAUGCUCGAUGCUGCAACCGGUGCUAUGCGGAGUCUGCAUGACAGUGUUCUUUCUUUGGAGAAGCGGCAUCUCGGAGAGAAGGAUGUGGCAUACCCGGUUUUCGCGGCCAAGGUGCCAGAGGGUAAGGGCUUUGUGGAUAACUCCAUCGGGGGUACGAUCGUCCUGCGGUUUGAUGACAUCCACGCUAUGUUGAACCUUCAUCCGCUGCACUACACCUUCGUUUGGCUAUUUUUGCUGAGUAUGGAGAUGCGGAUCAUUCGCGACAAGACCCCGGACAUCGUGAUAGUCGACCCCUUCUACAUGCGUGCCAAGAUCUUGGGCAGCGCUGGGGACCGGCAAGUCGCGACUUCUUACCUCGAAGGCGUCAUUCUGGCAAACCAAGAUAAGGAUAACUUCCUCGUGCCUUACUUUCCUGAGUAAGUCCUCCCCUCAACCGCCCCGUAACAUAUGAAUUCUUAGAUUUCGAUCGUUUUUAUUUUAACAUUCCGUGUUUUCUGUAGUGACAGACAUUGCACGCUCAUCCUCCUAAGCCCCAAAUAUUCCAUGGCCACGUAUUUCGACCCGGACCGUCAGUCGAACGUAGACUACACAAAUGUCAAGAAGGUUCUUGAUGAUGUUCUCCCCGGCUACGUCAAAUAUGGAGGCACCUUCACCAGGCCUAUUCGUAAGUACGGCAAGCACGUGUUCUCCCACAAUACGACGUUCUGCUGCGUCAAGCAGCCGCCUGGUGGUUAGAAGGGUGCCUACUACGCCAUCCAUCACAUGCGGGCGAUCGUACGGGACCAUCAUCAACUUCUGCUACCGAGUAAACUCAAAGAUUGGGCCGCGAGCGUGUCGGCAAUCCAGGACGCGGACAUCAGACAAGAAUUCUUUCGCAUCCAGUCGGAGUUUGCGGAAAUCAUCCAUCAAGAUGUCCUUCGUACCUCGGGGCAGUUCUACCUCAGAAAUCAACCAUCCAACAGUGACAUCGACACAAUGCUACAAAUGCAGGCUGACAAUGACCGUUAUUUCAUGACUCCCAGGAUAGACGGCAGCGUCAUCCACGCUCCGGUCACUUGAGUCGAGUCGAAAGCAGUGAUGCUGUGUCUAGUUCUGAAACAUCGAUUCGCUCAUGUUGUAAUUAAACUUUAAUGAACUUGUAGUAUGUCUCUUUGGUUUCAAGAGUCGUUCAACUUAGAUGUAAUCGAUGCUAUUAAUGUCUUGCUUUUCUCUUCCGAUCGUUCUGUUGCAUACUUGUAUAUUGCUUAUGUAUUGUCUGUGAAUUGGUACUAACGUUUCGUUUGGCUACUGCAUAGCGAUGCCGUCGUGUACAAGGGUAAGGUUCCCGGAGUCUACGACGACUGGGAGGAGUGUCGGAGAUAGGUUCACCGAUUCAGCGGUAACAGUUACAAAGGGUACACCACUAGGGCCGAGGCCGAAUCUAGAUACGCCUGCUAUCUAGCGGGAGAGGGGAGGGAGCGCUGGAGGAACCGGAUGAAGACGAGUUUCAUCGUGAUGAUGCUCAUCGUGAUGACCGCAGCUCUCUUCUAUGUGAUGGUAGUUUAGAUGAUCGAUAUCGACUUGUAAUGUGAAGACAAACUCGCUACUCGCGGUCUCGAGACUUGUAAUAUAAUGUUCUAUCUUUGUUCGGUCUUUUCAAUUCGGAGACUAAUAUGAUGAAUUGUAUUCGGAGACUAAUAUGAUGAAUUGUAUUCAGAGACUAAUCUUCUAUUGUAUUCGAUGAAUCUGUUGUUGAUGUGUGCUGUCUAUAUUUUGUCCAAUUAUACAUUUUGUAACCUGUGCAAAAAACAAAAAAUAAAAAAAACAAAAAAAAAA